AUGCCGACAGGCGGGCGGGGAGGCCCGGGGGAGGGCAGGGAGCGGCCCCGCCGCCACCAUGGCUGUUAUUUGUUUCCGGUAGCACCACAGCACGCUCGGGAGCCGCUUCCCAAGGCGGGACCGGGGCUCCCCCCCCACAACCCCCCCCCCCACACAACCCCAGCCCCACUCACUCGCCAGCCGCGGGCCGUCCAGCCCCCCGCCGCCUCCUCCUCCUCCUCCUCCUCCACCGUUGCUGCUUCCUCCACCUCCUCCUCCUCCUCCUCCGCCGCCUCCCGCCCCCAGCUCGGCUUUCUUAGGCCCCACCACCGCCACCGCCGCCGCCGCCGGGCCCGGGCUGGCCCCGUGAGGCGAGUACCCGGGCCCGGCGCUGGCCGCCGGGGGGAUGCCGAGGGGGAGCCCGCUGAUUGGAGGAGCAGCAGCGGCGGCAGCGGCGGCGCCGGGCUCCUCAUGCAGGAACUGGCACUCCUCGCCGUAGAAGCAGGUCUUGUCCUUGGCGUAGUAGCGGCAGAACUUGAGCUUCACGGCCCCGCUGGUGCUGCUGUUCACACCGCCACCACCGGUCCCCGCCGCCACCGGCCCCACCACCGGCGAGGGCGAGGAGCAGGGCAGGCCGCUGCUGUUCAUGGCACCCGCCCCGCCGCCGGGGUCGGCACCAUGGGGAAGGAGGGAGGGAGGGAGGGAGAGGAGAGGGGAGAGGGGCGGGGAGAAAAAAAGGGGCGCGGGGAACCGCCGGCACCCCGGGCUGCGGCUCGGAGGAGGAGGAGGAGGAGGAAAAGGGAGGAGGAGGAGGGUGAGGGGGCGGGGGGAGCCUCCGGUGGCUCCGCUCCUCUCAGCGCGGCCGGGGGCGGCGGCGGCUGCUGGGCGGCCGCGGGUUGUUUAUGCCAUUUUCCUCUUCCUUCAGCGGCCGCGCCUGCGCCGGAGCGGGGCAUGCCGGGUAGCGCCCGGCCGGUUGCCCUCAGCGGCUCCGAGUUCUCCGUUUAUUUAUUUUUAUAUUUUUUUUUCCUCAAAGUGCCGUCGUCCGAGUGUUGUACGCACGCUGGGGGGGAGCAGCUGUCAAGUUUGGGAAAUAAAGUUGUUCGGUGUGGGGGUGAGAGCGCGUUGUUGUCCUUUCGUUGUGUCCUCUCUCGAAGUAAAAAGUCAAUCUGCCUCCAGAGUCUGUGUGAGAAUAGAAAUAAUAAGUGA
This 1185-nucleotide long non-coding RNA is filed under the name Anas zonorhyncha (Eastern spot-billed duck). RNAcentral's name for it is "lncRNA (ENSAZOG00000003650.1)". Lineage: Eukaryota; Metazoa; Chordata; Aves; Anseriformes; Anatidae. The record is from RNAcentral.